RNAcentral lists this ribosomal RNA (253 nucleotides) under uncultured bacterium. Its description in RNAcentral is "partial 16S ribosomal RNA". It matches the Rfam family "Bacterial small subunit ribosomal RNA", at positions 524 to 776 of the family's 1533-position model. The record is from RNAcentral.
UACGAGGGGGGCGAGCGUUGUUCGGAAUUACUGGGCGUAAAGCGUGCGCAGGCGGUGAUGUAAGACAGAUGUGAAAUCCCCGGGCUCAACCUGGGAACUGCAUUUGUGACUGCAUCGCUGGAGUGCGGCAGAGGGGGAUGGAAUUCCGCGUGUAGCAGUGAAAUGCGUAGAUAUGCGGAGGAACACCGAUGGCGAAGGCAAUCCCCUGGGCCUGCACUGACGCUCAUGCACGAAAGCGUGGGGAGCAAACAGG